UGAGACAGGUUAGUUUUACCCUACUGAUGAAGGUCGCCGCAACUGUAAUUCAAUUUAGUACGAGAGGAACCGUUGAUUCAGAUAAUUGGUUUUUGCGGCUGUCCGACCGGGCAGUGCCGCGAAGCUACCAUCUGCUGGAUAAUGGCUGAACGCCUCUAAGUCAGAAUCCAUGCCAGAACGGGGUGAUUUCCGCCUGCACCAGUCGGAUACGAAUAGGCCUUUGGCCCAGAACCUUACCAGUCCGGCGUUGGCAGUCUCAUUGAAGUUGGGGCUGCUAGCCGGCGUAUUGCAAUUGUACAGUGCGCAGGAUUGAAUCCUUUGCAGACGACUUAGUUGUCUAGCCGGGUCGUGUAAGUAGUCGA
RNAcentral lists this ribosomal RNA (362 nucleotides) under Nephroselmis pyriformis. RNAcentral's name for it is "partial Eukaryotic large subunit ribosomal RNA". It matches the Rfam family "Eukaryotic large subunit ribosomal RNA", at positions 2974 to 3348 of the family's 3401-position model. The record is from RNAcentral. Lineage: Eukaryota; Viridiplantae; Chlorophyta; Nephroselmidophyceae; Nephroselmidales; Nephroselmidaceae.